GUGGGGAAUAUUGGGCAAUGGGCGAAAGCCUGACCCAGCAACGCCGCGUGAGGGAAGAAGGUUUUCGGAUUGUAAACCUCUGUCCUCAGGGACGAAAGAAAUGACGGUACCUGAGGAGGAAGCCCCGGCUAACUACGUGCCAGCAGCCGCGGUAAUACGUAGGGGGCGAGCGUUGUCCGGAAUGACUGGGCGUAAAGGGCGCGUAGGCGGCCGUACAAGUCUAACGUGAAAGUCCUGCUUUCAAGGUGGGAAUUGCGAGGGAAACUGUAUGGCUUGAGUGCGGAAGAGGUAAGUGGAAUUCCCAGUGUAGCGGUGAAAUGCGUAGAGAUUGGGAGGAACACCAGUGGCGAAGGCGACUUACUGGGCCGUAACUGACGCUGAUGCGCGAAAGCGUGGGGAGCGAACAGG
RNAcentral lists this ribosomal RNA (408 nucleotides) under bacterium. RNAcentral's name for it is "bacterial SSU rRNA". It matches the Rfam family "Bacterial small subunit ribosomal RNA", at positions 354 to 776 of the family's 1533-position model. The record is from RNAcentral.